CCUACGGGAGGCAGCAGUGGGGAAUAUUGCACAAUGGAGGAAACUCUGAUGCAGCGACGCCGCGUGAGUGAAGAAGUAUUUCGGUAUGUAAAGCUCUAUCAGCAGGGAAGAAAAUGACGGUACCUGACUAAGAAGCACCGGCUAAAUACGUGC
RNAcentral lists this ribosomal RNA (153 nucleotides) under uncultured bacterium. Its description in RNAcentral is "partial 16S ribosomal RNA". It matches the Rfam family "Bacterial small subunit ribosomal RNA", at positions 338 to 508 of the family's 1533-position model. The record is from RNAcentral.